GACGCUUAGAGUAUGGCCACAUGAAUGACUCAGCGCAGUAUGAAGUCUUUUUUUCUUCCGAAAACAAGCUCAAUGAGAGCCAUCGGGGGUAGAUCUAUCUCAUGACGAGUGGUGGAAUACUUUGACUCAUGAGAGAGAAGCUGAGGCGAAGGCGUCUACCUAGAGGGUUUCUGUCGAUCAAGGGCGAGAGUAGGAGUAUCCAACAGGAUUAGAGACCCUGGUAGUUCCUACCUUAAACGAUGCCGACAGGAGUUUGUCAUUUGUUAAUGGCAGAAUCUUUGGAGAAAUCAUAGUUCUUGGGCUCUGGGGGAACUACGACCGCAAGGCUGAAACUUGAAGGAAUUGACGGAAGGGCACACCAGGGGUGGAGCCUGUGGCUUAAUUUGAAUCAACACGGGGAAACUUACCAGGACCAGAUGUUUUUUAUGACUGACAGGCUUCGGGUCUUUCAGGAUAUUGUUUUUGGUGGUGCAUGGCCGUUGGUGGUGCGUGGGUUGACCUGUCUAGCGUUGAUUCAGCUAACGAGCGAGAUUAUCGCCAAUUAUUUACUUUGCCGAAGUCCUUCGGUUAAAGUUCUAAUUGGGACUCCCUGCGAUUUUAGCAGGUGGAAGAGGGUAGCAAUAACAGGUCCGUGAUGCCCUUUAGAUGCUCUGGGCUGCACGCGUGCUACAAUGUUAGGAUCAAUAGGACUGCGAGCCUGAGAGGGUGCGCUACUCUUAUAAUCCCUAACGUAGUUGGGAUUGACGUUUGUAAUCAGCGUCAUGAACCAGGAAUCCCUUGUAAAUGUGUGUCAACAACGCACGUUGAAUACGUCCCUGCCCUUUGUACACACCGCCCGUCGCUCCUACCGAUUGGAUGACUCGGUGAAAUCACCGGAUGCUUACGAGCAGA
This 891-nucleotide non-coding RNA is filed under the name Trichomonas vaginalis G3. RNAcentral describes it as "Eukaryotic small subunit ribosomal RNA". It matches the Rfam family "Eukaryotic small subunit ribosomal RNA", at positions 770 to 1728 of the family's 1831-position model. The record is from Rfam by way of RNAcentral. Lineage: Eukaryota; Parabasalia; Trichomonadida; Trichomonadidae.